This 253-nucleotide ribosomal RNA is filed under the name uncultured bacterium. Its description in RNAcentral is "partial 16S ribosomal RNA". It matches the Rfam family "Bacterial small subunit ribosomal RNA", at positions 524 to 776 of the family's 1533-position model. The record is from RNAcentral.
UACAGAGGGUGCGAGCGUUGUUCGGAAUUAUUGGGCGUAAAGGGCGCGUAGGCGGUGCGGUAAGUCACUUGUGAAAUCUCCUGGCUCAACUGGGAGCUUGCAGGCGAAACUGCCGUGCUGGAGUGUGGGAGAGGUGCGUGGAAUUCCUGGUGUAGGAGUGAAAUCCGUAGAUAUCAGGAGGAACACAGGUGGCGAAGGCGGCUGCCUGGACCGAUAUUGACGCUGAGACGCGAAAGCGUGGGUAGCAAACAGG